AUUGCCUUAGUAACGGCGAGUGAAGCGGCAAGAGCUCAAAUUUGAAAUCUGACUCCCUUGGGGGUCCGAGUUGUAAUUGGGAGAGGAUGCUUCGGGACCGGUGCCCGUCUAAGUGCCCUGGAACGGGCCGUCAUAGAGGGUGAGAAUCCCGUCUGGGAUGGGUGGCCGGGCCCGUGUGAAGCUCCUUCGACGAGUCGAGUUGUUUGGGAAUGCAGCUCUAAAUGGGUGGUAAAUUUCAUCUAAAGCUAAAUAUGGGCUGGAGACCGAUAGCGCACAAGUAGAGUGAUCGAAAGAUGAAAAGCACUUUGGAAAGAGAGUUCAACAGCACGUGAAAUUGUUGAAAGGGAAGCGCUUGCCACCAGACUCGCGCGGGGGGGUUCAGCCGGCACCUGUGCCGGUGCACUCUCCCCCGUGCGGGCCAGCGUCGGUUGGGACGGCCGGUCAAAGGCCCCCGGAAGGUAUCACCCCUCGGGGUGUCUUAUAGCCGGGGGUGCCAUGCGGCCAGUCUCGACCGAGGAACGCGCUCCGGCUCGGACGCUGGCGUAAUGGUUGUAAGCGGCCCGUCUUGAAACACGGACCAAGGAGUCUAACAUCUAUGCGAGUGUUCGGGUGUCAAACCCGUCCGCGCAGUGAAAGCGAACGGAGGUGGGAACCCUCUCGGGGGUGCACCAUCGACCGAUCCUGAUGUCUUCGGAUGGAUUUGAGUAAGAGCAUAGCUGUUGGGACCCGAAAGAUGGUGAACUAUGCCUGGAUAGGGCGAAGCCAGAGGAAACUCUGGUGGAGGCUCGCAGCGGUUCUGACGUGCAAAUCGAUCGUCAAAUUUGGGUAUAGGGGCGAAAGACUAAU
RNAcentral lists this ribosomal RNA (846 nucleotides) under Acidotalaromyces lignorum. Its description in RNAcentral is "partial large subunit ribosomal RNA". It matches the Rfam family "Eukaryotic large subunit ribosomal RNA", at positions 74 to 935 of the family's 3401-position model. The record is from RNAcentral. Lineage: Eukaryota; Fungi; Ascomycota; Eurotiomycetes; Eurotiales; Trichocomaceae.